This 199-nucleotide long non-coding RNA is filed under the name Linum usitatissimum (flax). RNAcentral's name for it is "long non-coding RNA (LUSI_LNC000243)". The record is from RNAcentral. Lineage: Eukaryota; Viridiplantae; Streptophyta; Magnoliopsida; Malpighiales; Linaceae.
GUGGGUCCACCCACAGGAAGCACAGGUCAAGGCGCUCAUCCAGUGACGCGCCAAAGCACACGAGGCGAGGAUCGAAUGCCAGCAGUGCAGCCGGUUCGCCGGUGGGUUCACCAAAAGCCGGCGACGGCGAGAAGAAGUCGAGGCGCCACCGGUCUUCCAACAACAUGGCGAUGGGAUCCCCAGCCAGGGAGACGUCGAC